Molecule: ribosomal RNA, 372 nt
Filed under: Abiotrophia defectiva
Lineage: Bacteria; Bacillati; Bacillota; Bacilli; Lactobacillales; Aerococcaceae
Description: bacterial SSU rRNA
Rfam family: Bacterial small subunit ribosomal RNA
Source: RNAcentral
CUCAUAGUGGGGGAUAACAGUCGGAAACGACUGCUAAUACCGCAUAGGACAUAGGAUCACAUGAUCCAGUGAGGAAAAGGUGCGCAAGCUAUCGCUAAGAGAUGGACCCGCGGUGCAUUAGCUAGUUGGUAGGGUAAAGGCCUACCAAGGCGAUGAUGCAUAGCCGACCUGAGAGGGUGAUCGGCCACAUUGGGACUGAGACACGGCCCAAACUCCUACGGGAGGCAGCAGUAGGGAAUCUUCCGCAAUGGACGCAAGUCUGACGGAGCAACGCCGCGUGAGUGAAGAAGGUCUUCGGAUCGUAAAGCUCUGUUGUUAGAGAAGAACAGCGCAUAGAGUAACUGUUAUGCGUGUGACGUAUCUAACCAUAAA